UAUGGUUGUGCCAGCAGCCGCGGUAAAACGUAGGGUGCAAGCGUUGUCCGGAAUUACUGGGUGUAAAGGGAGCGCAGGCGGACCGGCAAGUUGGAAGUGAAAACUAUGGGCUCAACCCAUAAAUUGCUUUCAAAACUGCUGGCCUUGAGUAGUGCAGAGGUAGGUGGAAUUCCCGGUGUAGCGGUGGAAUGCGUAGAUAUCGGGAGGAACACCAGUGGCGAAGGCGACCUACUGGGCACCAACUGACGCUGAGGCUCGAAAGCAUGGGUAGCAAACAGG
Molecule: ribosomal RNA, 279 nt
Filed under: Gemmiger formicilis
Lineage: Bacteria; Bacillati; Bacillota; Clostridia; Eubacteriales; Oscillospiraceae
Description: partial 16S ribosomal RNA
Rfam family: Bacterial small subunit ribosomal RNA
Source: RNAcentral